UCCGUAGGGACCGAGCGUUGUCCGGAAUCAUUGGGCGUAAAGAGCGUGUAGGCGGCCAGGUAGGUCGGUUGUGAAAACUGGAGGCUCAACCUUCAGAGGUCGACCGAAACCAUCUGGCUAGAGUCCGGGAGAGGAGAGUGGAAUUCCUGGUGUAGCGGUGAAAUGCGCAGAUAUCAGGAAGAACACCGAUGGCGAAGGCAGAUCUCUGGGCCGUAACUGACGCUGAGGAGCGAAAGCGUGGGGAGCGAACAGG
This 253-nucleotide ribosomal RNA is filed under the name uncultured bacterium. Its description in RNAcentral is "partial 16S ribosomal RNA". It matches the Rfam family "Bacterial small subunit ribosomal RNA", at positions 524 to 776 of the family's 1533-position model. The record is from RNAcentral.